CCCCCCAGUCCCGAAGGGGACCCAGGUGUCCUGCGAGGCCGAGCUGGCCCUCAAGCCAUCCCCCCCCCAUGAUGUCCUUGAUGCCACCGGCCGGGAUGCCGGGGCUGUCACUGCCACUGCGGUGUCCCCGCGGGAUGCGGCCCCCUUCCCUGAGCUCCCAGCAGGGACAGGGCAGGCGGAGGCUUCCCGUGGGGGGAAAGGAGGUGGCUGGGACCUCCCGGGCCCUGCAGUGGGGUGGGAGGACCCACAUCCAGGCUGAGCUCAGGGGGUUGGGUUGGGGGUCGCCUCUUGCCUAGGAGCAGGACAGGSACCACGGUGGGGGGUCCCCAGUGGUCCCCAAAGCCCAGCCCGGCCUGCGGCGGCGGCGGCCCCGUUACCUGUGGCCUCCACCAUGCCCUCGAGGAUGACGACGAUCUCGAAGUCGUCCUUCUCCAGCUGCUGCCGGGAGACGUCCCAGAAGGGGCUGCGCUCGUCGAUCUCGUGGCUGAUGAUGAGGGGCGAGACGAGGAAGAGGCGGUCGUCGCCCGUCUCGAAGCCCACGCUGAGGUCCGUCUGGUCGAGGGGGAUGAACUCGCCCUCCUGCGUCUGCUUGGACUUGAUGAGCUUGGCGCGGAUGGAGGCCUCGACGAUGUGCGAGUCGCGCAGGUCGCCCACGCGGAACAUGAGGCAGAGGCGGUCGUCCCGCAGCGAGACCACGGCGUGCGAGGAGAAGACCAGCGUCUCGGCCCGCUUGUUGGGCUGCGAGAUCUUCACGAACAUGCAGCCCACCAUGAAGGCGUUGACCAUGGAGCCCAGGAUGGCCUGGAGCAGCAGCAGCACGAUGCCCUCGGGACACUUGUCCGUGAUGACGCGGUGGCCGUAGCCGAUGGUGGUCUCCGUCUCGAUGGAGAAGAGGAAGGCCGAGACGAAGCCGUUGAGGUUGUUGACGCACGGCGUCCACGCGUGGUCCUCCAGGUGGUCCAGGUCGCCCCGGCAGUAGGCGAUGAACCACCAGAUGAGGCCGAAGAAGAGCCAGGUGACGGCGUAGGCGAGGAUGAAGACGAGGAGGCUGAAGCGCCACUCGAGGUCCACCAGCGUGGUGAAGAUGUCGGUGAGGUAGCGGUAGGUCUCGCGCACGUUGCCGUGCUGCACGUUGCACUUGCCGUCCUUCUCCACGUAGCGCUGGCGCGUGCGGCCGGCGGGG
This 1183-nucleotide long non-coding RNA is filed under the name Dromaius novaehollandiae (emu). RNAcentral describes it as "lncRNA (ENSDNVG00000002320.1)". The record is from RNAcentral. Lineage: Eukaryota; Metazoa; Chordata; Aves; Casuariiformes; Dromaiidae.